This 465-nucleotide ribosomal RNA is filed under the name uncultured bacterium. RNAcentral's name for it is "partial 16S ribosomal RNA". It matches the Rfam family "Bacterial small subunit ribosomal RNA", at positions 338 to 795 of the family's 1533-position model. The record is from RNAcentral.
CCUACGGGAGACAGCAGUGGGGAAUAUUGCACAAUGGGGGAAAGCCUGAUGGAGCAACGCCGCGUGGGUGAAGAAGGUCUUCGGAUCGUAAAACCCUGUUGUUAGAGAAGAAAGUUCGUGAGAGUAACUGUUCACGUUUCGACGGUAUCUAACCAGAAAGCCACGGCUAACUACGUGCCAGCAGCCGCGGUAAUACGUAGGUGGCAAGCGUUAUCCGGAUUUAUUGGGCGUAAAGGGAACGCAGGCGGUCUUUUAAGUCUGAUGUGAAAGCCUUCGGCUUAACCGGAGUAGUGCAUUGGAAACUGGGAGACUGGAGUGCAGAAGAGGAGAGUGGAACUCCAUGUGUAGCGGUGAAAUGCGUAGAUAUAUGGAAGAACACCAGUGGCGAAAGCGGCUCUCUGGUCUGUAACUGACGCUGAGGUUCGAAAGCGUGGGUAGCAAACAGGAUUAGAUACCCCAGUAGUC